AUGCCUGGUGGUAUUCAGGGCCCCAGGGUCUCCCUAUAUGCGGACGACGCUGCCAUUUUUCUAUCCCCCAUAGCACAUGAUGUGGAAGGCCUUGCUAGCAUUCUACAGAGUUUUGGGGUAGUCUCUGGCCUCGUGACAAAUGUGACCAAGAGCUCCAUCGCCCCCAUCCAAUGCGCCAACAUUAACUUGGAGGAGAUUCUGGAGAACUUCCCGGCGACUACGACCCCCUUCCUCAUUAAGUAUCUGGGGUUGCCCCUCACCCUCGGAAGACUUAGGCGUGUGGACCUUCAACCCUACAUCCACAAAGCAGUGGCUCGUCUUAGCCCGUGGAAAGGAAAGUUCCUGAAUCGUGCCGGGUGCACUGCUCUGGUUAAGUCCGUGCUCUCCUCCAUGCCAAUCUUCUUGCUGACGGCUUUAAAGGCUGACAAAGGCAUCCUCAAGGCCUUUGCGAAGAUCAGUCGCGGCAUGCUCUGGGCCUGUAAGGAGGCGGUUAGUGGAGGGAAAUGCAAAGUCAACUGG
RNAcentral lists this ribosomal RNA (519 nucleotides) under Triticum aestivum (bread wheat). RNAcentral describes it as "partial small subunit ribosomal RNA". The record is from RNAcentral. Lineage: Eukaryota; Viridiplantae; Streptophyta; Magnoliopsida; Poales; Poaceae.